AAGAGAAUCUGCAGGGCCGCUUCAUCAGCUCGCUGUUAGCUGCCCUGCCUGCUUUUUGUAGCUUUAUUAGCCAUCAGGUUGCCGUUAAACGCUCGUUUAAAGCUUAGUAUUAAUUGUUAGGCUAAUGCUAGUUUAAAACGAGACUUUCCAGGCUGCCCCAGCUCUUUGGGUACCGUUACUCAAACAGAUGGGACUCACUGGACCUCAACCACCAACAGCUGAAGCUCAAAUCGGAGGCAUUUCUUCCAGAGCAGCGGAGGAAGCUAAAGGAAGAGACGCCAUGUUGGAUCAGACGGUUGAGCUCCCAGUAUCAGGCCGCAGGACCUUCACUGGUUCCACAGUCAGAGGUGAUCAGUGCACAGAGGCGGGCCGACCCUCCAGCUGGAACACAGCAGCUUUAAUAUCCCUGCUGGUAAACACUGGUUAUCUCAAGCACACAUUGAACUGAGCUAUGAUCCACAGUGGGAGCGCAAGCUGCAAACUUUCCCAAGGAUACCAUGCAGCCACAUGCCAGUGCUGCCCUUUGUCAGCCCCCACCAGCGGGGGCGCUGUCUCUAAGCACCGAGCUGAACUCAGAGCGCCUGAAGGCAUCACUCCAGGUGGACAGGUGGGACUGUCGUUACCCUUCUCCUCAUGCUGGUCUCCGUUGGAC
Poecilia latipinna (sailfin molly) is the source of this 652-nucleotide long non-coding RNA. RefSeq lists it as uncharacterized. The record is from RefSeq and is a predicted model, not a curated record. Lineage: Eukaryota; Metazoa; Chordata; Actinopteri; Cyprinodontiformes; Poeciliidae. The transcript has 3 exons.